CAAUAGCGUAUAUUAAAGUUGUUGCGGUUAAAAAGCUCGUAGUUGGAUUUCUGCCGAGGACGACCGGUCCGCCCUCUGGGUGAGUAUCUGGCUCGGCCUGGGCAUCUUCUUGGAGAACGUAGCUGCACUUGACUGUGUGGUGCGGUAUCCAGGACUUUUACUUUGAGGAAAUUAGAGUGUUUCAAGCAGGCUUACGCCUUGAAUACAUUAGCAUGGAAUAAUAAGAUAGGACCUCGGUUCUAUUUUGUUGGUUUCUAGAGCUGAGGUAAUGAUUAAUAGGGAUAGUUGGGGGCAUUCGUAUUUAACUGUCAGAGGUGAAAUUCUUGGAUUUGUUAAAGACGGACUACUGCGGAAGCAUUUGCCAAGGAUGUUUUCAUUGA
Molecule: ribosomal RNA, 380 nt
Filed under: uncultured eukaryote
Lineage: Eukaryota
Description: partial 18S ribosomal RNA
Rfam family: Eukaryotic small subunit ribosomal RNA
Source: RNAcentral